AUUGAACGCUGGCGGCAUGCCUUACACAUGCAAGUCGAACGGUAACAGGUCUUCGGAUGCUGACGAGUGGCGAACGGGUGAGUAAUACAUCGGAACGUGCCUAGUCGUGGGGGAUAACUACCCGAAAGAGUGGCUAAUACCGCAUGAGAUCUACGGAUGAAAGCAGGGGUGCGCAAGACCUUGUGCUACUAGACUGGCCGAUGGCAGAUUAGGUAGUUGGUGGGAUAAAAGCUUACCAAGCCGACGAUCUGUAGCUGGUCUGAGAGGACGAUCAGCCACACUGGGACUGAGACACGGCCCAGACUCCUACGGGAGGCAGCAGUGGGGAAUUUUGGACAAUGGGCGAAAGCCUGAUCCAGCAAUGCCGCGUGCAGGAUGAAGGCCUUCGGGUUGUAAACUGCUUUUGUACGGAACGAAAAGCCCCGGGUUAAUACCCUGGGGUCAUGACGGUACCGUAAGAAUAAGCACCGGCUAACUACGUGCCAGCCGCCGCCGUAA
RNAcentral lists this ribosomal RNA (498 nucleotides) under uncultured bacterium. RNAcentral's name for it is "partial 16S ribosomal RNA". It matches the Rfam family "Bacterial small subunit ribosomal RNA", at positions 30 to 523 of the family's 1533-position model. The record is from RNAcentral.